RNAcentral lists this ribosomal RNA (232 nucleotides) under uncultured bacterium. Its description in RNAcentral is "partial 16S ribosomal RNA". It matches the Rfam family "Bacterial small subunit ribosomal RNA", at positions 99 to 334 of the family's 1533-position model. The record is from RNAcentral.
CGGACGGGUGAGUAAUGUCUGGGAAACUGCCUGAUGGAGGGGGAUAACUACUGGAAACGGUAGCUAAUACCGCAUAACGUCGCAAGACCAAAGAGGGGGACCUUAGGGCCUCUUGCCAUCGGAUGUGCCCAGAUGGGAUUAACUAGUAGGUGGGGUAAUGGCUCACCUAGGCGACGAUCCCUAGCUGGUCUGAGAGGAUGACCAGCCACACUGGAACUGAGACACGGUCCAG